RNAcentral lists this ribosomal RNA (497 nucleotides) under uncultured bacterium. Its description in RNAcentral is "partial 16S ribosomal RNA". It matches the Rfam family "Bacterial small subunit ribosomal RNA", at positions 28 to 507 of the family's 1533-position model. The record is from RNAcentral.
GAUGAACGCUGGCGGCGUGCCUAAUACAUGCAAGUCGAGCGAACGGACGAGAAGCUUGCUUCUCUGAUGCUAGCGGCGGACGGGUGAGUAACACGUGGAUAACCUACCUAUAAGACUGGGAUAACUUCGGGAAACCGUAGCUAAUACCGGAUAAUAUUUUGAACCGCAUGGUUCAAAAGUGAAAGACGGUCUUGCUGUCACUUAUAGAUGGAUCCGCGCUGCAUUAGCUAGUUGGUAAGGUAACGGCUUACCAAGGCAACGAUGCAUAGCCGACCUGAGAGGGUGAUCGGCCACACUGGGACUGAGACACGGUCCAGACUCCUACGGGAGGCAGCAGUAGGGAAUCUUCCGCAAUGGGCGAAAGCCUGACGGAGCAACGCCGCGUGAGUGAUGAAGGUCUUCGGAUCGUAAAACUCUGUUAUUAGGGAAGAACAUAUGUGUAAGUAACUGUGCACAUCUUGACGGUACCUAAUCAGAAAGCCACGGCUAACUACGUG